RNAcentral lists this non-coding RNA (28 nucleotides) under Cricetulus griseus (Chinese hamster). The record is from RNAcentral. Lineage: Eukaryota; Metazoa; Chordata; Mammalia; Rodentia; Cricetidae.
UAGACACUGAAGGCUUCAAAACAUGAUU